UGUUGCAGCUCUAGUUAAAAACAAAUCAGUAAUAGUUUUGGUCAGACUUUCCAGUCAUAUUCCUCCUCCUUCCUGAGGAAUUGACUUUUAAUUCCAUCAUUACUCCUUAGUGAAGCAAUCCAUUUAAGGCAAACAUGUAUUUAAGGCUAAAGCCUUCUCAUUUAAUUGGCAUUUAUGCAAAAAAAUGAAGGUUAAUGAAAUCUUCCAGAAUUAUUCAAUAAGAAAAGUAGCUGGUAAGCAUGGCGCACAGGAAAAUGUGUGGUUCAUCCUGAACUGUACCCAAAAGGACAAUCUUAAGUCCUUAAUAUCAUUGGCAUGCAAAGAUAGUGAUUUGUAAUGUAAAAUUAUGUAGAGUGCUAUAGUAUAAGGAUUGAGAAAAUAUGUAGCCUAGUUUUUUUUUUUUUUUGUUUUUUUUUUAGAGUAGUGG
Molecule: long non-coding RNA, 427 nt
Organism: Dermochelys coriacea (leatherback sea turtle)
Lineage: Eukaryota; Metazoa; Chordata; Testudines; Dermochelyidae
Exons: 4
Source: RefSeq, a predicted model, not a curated record